AUUGAACGCUGGCGGCAGGCCUAACACAUGCAAGUCGAACGGUAACAGGAAGCAGCUUGCUGCUUCGCUGACGAGUGGCGGACGGGUGAGUAAUGUCUGGGAAACUGCCUGAUGGAGGGGGAUAACUACUGGAAACGGUAGCUAAUACCGCAUAACGUCGCAAGACCAAAGAGGGGGACCUUAGGGCCUCUUGCCAUCGGAUGUGCCCAGAUGGGAUUAGCUAGUAGGUGGGGUAACGGCUCACCUAGGCGACGAUCCCUAGCUGGUCUGAGAGGAUGACCAGCCACACUGGAACUGAGACACGGUCCAGACUCCUACGGGAGGCAGCAGUGGGGAAUAUUGCACAAUGGGCGCAAGCCUGAUGCAGCCAUGCCGCGUGUAUGAAGAAGGCAUUCGGGUUGUAAAGUACUUUCAGCGGGGAGGAAGGGAGUAAAGUUAAUACCUUUGCUCAUUGACGUUACCCGCAGAAGAAGCACCGGCUAACUCCGUG
Molecule: ribosomal RNA, 490 nt
Filed under: uncultured bacterium
Lineage: Bacteria
Description: partial 16S ribosomal RNA
Rfam family: Bacterial small subunit ribosomal RNA
Source: RNAcentral